UACAGAGGGGGCAAGCGUUAUUCGGAAUUAUUGGGCGUAAAGAGCUCGUAGGCGGUUCGGCAAGUCGGAUGUGAAAUCUCCACGCUUAACGUGGAGGGGCCAUUCGAAACUGCUGUGACUCGAGUCCGGUAGGGGAGUGUGGAAUUCCCGGUGUAGCGGUGAAAUGCGCAGAUAUCGGGAGGAGCACCAGUAGCGAAGGCGGCACUCUGGGUCGGUACUGACGCUGAGGAGCGAAAGCGUGGGGAGCGAACAGG
This 254-nucleotide ribosomal RNA is filed under the name uncultured bacterium. Its description in RNAcentral is "partial 16S ribosomal RNA". It matches the Rfam family "Bacterial small subunit ribosomal RNA", at positions 524 to 776 of the family's 1533-position model. The record is from RNAcentral.